Unclassified non-coding RNA from Macaca fascicularis (crab-eating macaque), 148 nucleotides. It matches the Rfam family "Metazoan signal recognition particle RNA". From Rfam's summary of the family: The signal recognition particle (SRP) is a universally conserved ribonucleoprotein. Lineage: Eukaryota; Metazoa; Chordata; Mammalia; Primates; Cercopithecidae. The record is from Ensembl.
GCCGGGUGUGGUGGCGGGCACCUGUAAUCCCAGCUACUCGGGAGGCUGAGACAGGAGAAUUGCUUGAACCCAGGAGGCAGAGGUUGCAGUGAACCAAGAUCACGUCACUGCACUCCAGCCUGGGCGACAGAGCAAGACUUCGUCUCAA